Argiope bruennichi is the source of this 488-nucleotide long non-coding RNA. RefSeq lists it as uncharacterized. The transcript is spliced from 2 exons. The record is from RefSeq and is a predicted model, not a curated record. Lineage: Eukaryota; Metazoa; Arthropoda; Arachnida; Araneae; Araneidae.
UUCUUCAAGUUUUGUUCUUUAAAACUGGUUUUAGCAUACUUAUUCUGUCCAUAACUUGCUGGUAUGCUCAAUUUUAUUUUGAUUUUGCAUAGUAUAAAAGUAAAGGGAUCCCGAAGUGUAAACAUUACAUCUUCGUAACUAGAGUGUUUUGUAUAAGCUCCAAUAUGUUAGCUAGGAUCAUCGUCUUCUGUGUCAUUUUGGCAAUUGUCUAUAGUUCUCCUGUUGGAGGACAGCGUGGAGGGUGGUGGGCCCCCGAAGGUGCAACUGGGGCUUUUGGAGCCCAAGGCCCUGUUCUACCCCCUAGUGGUACAUAUUCAAGCGGUGGAGGUAUGGCCUCUGGAAGUGGUGGUCACAGAUGGGGUUGAGAUAGUGAUUAUCAUCAGAGCUGCUGAUCUUGCUGAUAUGGGCAUUGGAAAAAAGCUGUUAGAAGCUUCAUGCAUUUAAUUCUUUGUAAUCAGAUAAAUAAAUUAUUUGCAGCAUUUCUUCAA